UACGUAGGGUGCAAGCGUUAAUCGGAAUUACUGGGCGUAAAGCGUGCGCAGGCGGUUAUUUAAGUCAGGUGUGAAAUCCCAGGGCUUAACCUUGGAACUGCAUUUGUGACUGCAUAGCUAGAGUACGGUAGAGGGGGAUGGAAUUCCGCGUGUAGCAGUGAAAUGCGUAGAUAUGCGGAGGAACACCGAUGGCGAAGGCAAUCCCCUGGACCUGUACUGACGCUCAUGCACGAAAGCGUGGGGAGCAAACAGG
Molecule: ribosomal RNA, 253 nt
Filed under: uncultured bacterium
Lineage: Bacteria
Description: partial 16S ribosomal RNA
Rfam family: Bacterial small subunit ribosomal RNA
Source: RNAcentral